AUACGGAGGAUCCGAGCGUUAUCCGGAUUUAUUGGGUUUAAAGGGUGCGCAGGCGGCCAUUUAAGUCAGCGGUUAAAUCGUGGGGCUCAACCCCAUUCUGCCGUUGAUACUGGGUGGCUUGAUUGCGGUCGAGGUUGGCGGAAUUCGUUGUGUAGCGGUGAAAUGCAUAGAUAUGACGAAGAACACCGAUUGCGUAGGCAGCUGACCAGACCGCAAAUGACGCUCAUGCACGAAAGUGCGGGGAUCGAACGGGAUUAGAUACCCUGGUAGUCCGCACAGUAAACGAUGAAUACUUGUUUUCGGCGAUAUAAUGUCGGAGGCAAAGCGAAAGCGAUAAGUAUUCCACCUGGGGAGUACGCCGGCAACGGUGAAACUCAAAUGAAUUGACGGGG
This 392-nucleotide ribosomal RNA is filed under the name uncultured bacterium. RNAcentral describes it as "partial 16S ribosomal RNA". It matches the Rfam family "Bacterial small subunit ribosomal RNA", at positions 523 to 918 of the family's 1533-position model. The record is from RNAcentral.